CAAGCAAGAAAGAGCACAAGGUGGAUGCCUUGGCACUGAGAGCCGACGAAAGACGUGAUAAGCUGCGAUAAGCUGCGGCGAGGAGCACAUAUCCUGUGACCCGCAGAUUUCUGAAUGGGGAAACCCGGCAGAGCAAACCUCUGUCACCUUAACGCCAAUACAUAACGUUAAGGAGGGAACCCGCUGAACUGAAACAUCUAAGUAGGCGGAGGAAGAGAAAGAAACAUCGAUUCCGAAAGUAGCGGCGAGCGAAAUCGGAAGAGCCCAAACCAUGGUGCGUGCACUGUGGGGUUCGGACUGCAAACGUUAUCUUCAAGGAUAGCUGAAUGGCCCUGGAAAGACCAUCCAAAGAACGUGAGAGACGUGUAAGCGAAAUUUGAGAAGAGACAGCAGUAUCCAGAGUACAUCGAGACACGUGGAACCUUGAUGGAAGAUGGGGAGACCACUCCCUAAGGCUAAAUACUACUCAGUGACCGAUAGAGCAUAGUACUGUGAAGGAAAGGUGAAAAGGACCCCGGGAGGGGAGUGAAAGAGAACCUGAAACCUUGUGUUUACAAGCGGUGGAAGCACUAUCUAAAAGAAGUGCGACCGCGUACUUUUUGUAGAACGGUCCGGCGAGUUGCGGCCGGUGGCGAGGUUAAGGACUUAAGGUCCGGAGCCGAAGGGAUACCAAGUCUGAAUAGGGCGACAAAGUCAUCGAACGCAGACCCGAAACCGGGUGAUCUACCCAUGGUCAGGAUGAAGAUGCUGUAAAAGGCAUUGGAGGUCCGAAGCCACAUCCGUUGAAAAGGGUGGGCAUGAACUGUGGGUAGGGGAGAAAUUCCAAUCGAACCCGGAGAUAGCUGGUUCUCCUCGAAAUAGCUUUAGGGCUAGCCUUGUAUUAGUCUUACGGAGGUAGAGCACUGAAUUUCCUAGGGGGCGUCAAAGUCUACCAAAGAAUAUCAAACUCCGAAUGCCGUUAAGAUGAUGUACAGGAGUCAGACUACACGAGAUAAGUUGGGUAGUCAAAAGGGAAACAGCCCAGACCUACAGCUAAGGUCCCAAAGUACGUGUUAAGUGGAAAAGGAUGUGGGAUUUCAUAGACAACUAGGAUGUUGGCUCAGAAGCAGCCACACAUUCAAAGAGUGCGUAAUAGCUCACUAGUCGAGAGGUUCUGCGCCGAAAAUGUCCGGGGCUGAAACACGACACCGAAGCUUAGGAAUGUAGCAAUACAUUGGUAGAGGAGCAUUGUUAAAGCA
This 1238-nucleotide ribosomal RNA is filed under the name Lachnospiraceae bacterium XPB1003. RNAcentral describes it as "bacterial LSU rRNA". It matches the Rfam family "Bacterial large subunit ribosomal RNA", at positions 4 to 1249 of the family's 2925-position model. Lineage: Bacteria; Bacillati; Bacillota; Clostridia; Lachnospirales; Lachnospiraceae. The record is from RNAcentral.